AUUAGCUCAGCUGGGAGAGCAUCUGCCUUACAAGCAGAGGGUCGGCGGUUCGAGCCCGUCAU
This 62-nucleotide transfer RNA is filed under the name Bacillus sp. FJAT-21955. RNAcentral's name for it is "tRNA-Val". It matches the Rfam family "tRNA", at positions 6 to 65 of the family's 71-position model. From Rfam's summary of the family: Transfer RNA (tRNA) molecules are approximately 80 nucleotides in length. Their secondary structure includes four short double-helical elements and three loops (D, anti-codon, and T loops). Lineage: Bacteria; Bacillati; Bacillota; Bacilli; Caryophanales; Bacillaceae. The record is from RNAcentral.